CGAACGCUGGCGGCGUGCUUAACACAUGCAAGUCGAGCGGUAAGGCCCUUUCGGGGGUACACGAGCGGCGAACGGGUGAGUAACACGUGGGUGACCUGCCCUCAGCUCUGGGAUAAGCCUGGGAAACUGGGUCUAAUACUGGAUAUGACUCCACGGUGCAUGUCGUGGGGUGGAAAGCCUUGUGCGGCUGAGGAUGGGCCCGCGGCCUAUCAGCUUGUUGGUGGGGUGAUGGCCUACCAAGGCGACGACGGGUAGCCGGCCUGAGAGGGCGACCGGCCACACUGGGACUGAGACACGGCCCAGACUCCUACGGGAGGCAGCAGUGGGGAAUCUUGCGCAAUGGGCGAAAGCCUGACGCAGCGACGCCGCGUGAGGGAUGACGGCCUGGU
RNAcentral lists this ribosomal RNA (389 nucleotides) under uncultured bacterium. Its description in RNAcentral is "bacterial SSU rRNA". It matches the Rfam family "Bacterial small subunit ribosomal RNA", at positions 30 to 420 of the family's 1533-position model. The record is from RNAcentral.